GGUGAGUAACACGNGGGUAACCUNCCUGUAAGACNGGGAUAACUCCGGGAAACCGGGGCUAAUACCGGAUGGUUGUUUGAACCGCAUGGUUCAAACAUAAAAGGUGGCUUCGGCUACCACUNACAGAUGGACCCGCGGUGCAUUAGCUAGUUGGUGAGGUAAUGGCUCACCAAGGCAACGAUGCGUAGCCGACCUGAGAGGGUGAUCGGCCACACUGGGACUGAGACACGGCCCAGACUCCUACGGGAGGCAGCAGUAGGGAAUCUUCCGCAAUGGACGAAAGNCUGACGGAGCAACGCCGCGUGAGUGAUGAAGGUUUUCGGAUCGUAAAGCUCUGUUGUCAGGGAAGAACAAGUACCGUUCGAAUAGGGCGGUACCUUGACGGUACCUAACCAGAAAGCCACGGCUAACUACGUGCCAGCAGCCGCGGUAAUACGUAGGUGGCAAGCGUUGUCCGGAAUUAUUGGGCGUAAAGGGCUCGCAGGCGGUUUCUUAAGUCUGAUGUGAAAGCCCCCGGCUCAACCGGGGAGGGUCAUUGGAAACUGGGGAACUUGAGUGCANAAGANGAGAGUGGAAUUCCACGUGUAGCGGUGAAAUGCGUAGAGAUGUGGAGGAACACCAGUGGCGAAGGCGACUCUCUGGUCUGUAACUGACGCUGAGGAGCGAAAGCGUGGGGAGCGAACAGGAUUAGAUACCCUGGUAGUCCACGCC
This 711-nucleotide ribosomal RNA is filed under the name uncultured bacterium. RNAcentral's name for it is "bacterial SSU rRNA". It matches the Rfam family "Bacterial small subunit ribosomal RNA", at positions 105 to 801 of the family's 1533-position model. The record is from RNAcentral.